Molecule: ribosomal RNA, 440 nt
Filed under: uncultured bacterium
Lineage: Bacteria
Description: partial 16S ribosomal RNA
Rfam family: Bacterial small subunit ribosomal RNA
Source: RNAcentral
CCUACGGGAGGCAGCAGUGGGGAAUAUUGCACAAUGGGGGAAACCCUGAUGCAGCGACGCCGCGUGAGUGAAGAAGUAAUUCGGUAUGUAAAGCUCUAUCAGCAGGGAAGAAAAUGACGGUACCUGAGUAAGAAGCCCCGGCUAACUACGUGCCAGCAGCCGCGGUAAUACGUAGGGGGCAAGCGUUAUCCGGAUUUACUGGGUGUAAAGGGAGCGUAGACGGCAGUGCAAGUCUGGAGUGAAAGGCGGGGGCUCAACCCCCGGACUGCUCUGGAAACUGUGCAGCUGGAGUGCAGGAGAGGUGAGUGGAAUUCCUAGUGUAGCGGUGAAAUGCGUAGAUAUUAGGAGGAACACCAGUGGCGAAGGCGGCUUACUGGACUGUAACUGACGUUGAGGCUCGAAAGCGUGGGGAGCAAACAGGAUUAGAUACCCUUGUAGUC